AAAAAAUAGGGUUAAUGCAAUAAUGCCGCAAUUAACGUGACUUUUCGUCGUAUUACAUUUCCAUCCAUCCUCCGGCGUAUCUCUCUCUCCGAGCAAUGCUAUCGAUAAUAGCGAUCUAAACCUACCGUUUUCACAGAAGCAAACGUACGAUCGAAGAAAUGUUUGUACGAUUAACGUUAUCCUUGCCAAAAAUUGCAACGUUAUCGCUCCUCGAAUUCCAUGGUGUGCGCACGCACACCACCGAAGUGCGCACAUCGAAAUGCGCACGUUCCGCGAGGCGGUAUCAACGCGCGAACGCGGCCAUAAUGCACGCUCACGUAAGGUACAGCCGAGUUCUUCAUUAUCGUCAGGGGCCUAAAUUGCGUGGGCGUACCUAUACCUUCGUACACGUUACUUACCUUGAUGUACUAUACCUAGUACCUUGUACGCACACACUGUUACGAUCGCGUAGGGACGCGCGUUCGUUGAAUACGCGUACAAAUCCGUAGCCACAGGUUCGAGUGGCGAACGGUGCCGAAGUUGGUCGAAGUUGGCCGAACGCCGCGAAGCCGGUUGUCGCGCUCCUCGCCAGAUGCGAUGUCGAGUCAGUAUCGCGUCAGUCCUCCAGCGGAAUUGGUCAGUGAUCUGUGUCAGAGCAGGGCCAGUCGUCACUCUCCUUUUCUCUCCGCCGGUUAUCUCGUCUUUUUUCGACAUUUUUCCGUCCGGCGCACAUUGAAAUACGAAACGGUGGUUUCACGUGAUUUUCUCGUAUUCGUCGCCUCGGCUCGCGAACGCAUCCCCUUUUCGUGAUCUCGGGAACAUACGCCCGGUAUCUACGGUAUAUACUUGUACGAGUUAGAUACGUAUAGUACACAUACAGUAAUACAGUGCCAUAGUGGAGUUACCAGUGGGGAAAACAAAAAUUAGUUUGCAAGCGGACGUGCCUCACGGCGACCGUCGUUCACCACGUUCUGGAUCGGAGGCAGUGGGAGCAGGAGGCGAUAGGAAAUCGAAAGGAUCGACCACGAAAGGAGGAGAGCGCUAAUAUUGUCGAGUGGAGGCACACGGGGAGGAGAGGCAACAAAUGGAGCAUAGAGGCGCGGCGUCGGAUCGGCAGUAGCGGCACCCUAUCGUGUCGGGGCCCUGAGCUGGAGGGGGCCCCUGGAUCGGACGCGAGAAAGCUGGGCGGCGUUGUAGCGCGGCGAUGGCCGCGACCGACGGUCAGAUCGUGGUUGCGGCGGCACGCUGGGCCGAGGAAGCGACCUACCUUCGCGAAUUCGUCUCCAAGUAUCGUCUGCCUGCGGUGAUCAAGAUCACGAAGGGCCAGUACGGGGGGCUGGGUGUGCCCACCCUCCCCGCGCCCAGCCUGCAGAGCACCGCCCUGCUCGUGUCGGCCGGCCGGCGGCGGAAGAUCGUGGCCCAGGCGGUGAAGAUCAAGGAAGGGAGGAGGGUGGUCGGGGUCGGGCCCAGGCUCGCCAUCCCCGACUCGUACGCCGGCUACUUCGAGAUUCUGAGCGAGGAGGGUAGGGCGGUGCGCGGGAUAGAGUCGGUGAACGAGCUGUGCCGGCGAUGCCCCGAGGAGGGCGCCCUGGUGCGGGAGACGGUGCGCGGCAUAGCCUGCAGGGUGGACGACGAGUCGGGCAUAGUGGUGCCGGAGGGGACCAGGACGCUGGCCGCGGGCGAGACGAUCGUGACGGCCGGGGAGGUGAGUCUGCCGGGCCGCGGACGGUUCCUGCGCUGCGUGGACUGUCGGGGGGAGAGCGUCCUCCUCGGGAUGGAGCAGCGGGGCCGGUUCAGCGCGGUGGCGCGCGAGGACAACAUCAGCGGCGUGCACACGGCCCGCGCGCUGCUCAGCAAGCGGCUGCCGCUCACCGUGAGGCUGGUGCACGGCCAGCCGCCGAGGGGGCUCAAGUCGUCGUCGCAGUUCGUGCCCGAGCUCAGGCUGCUGUCCACGUUCGAGGAGGAGCACGUGUUCGCGCUGCCGCUGCAGAGAGAGGGGGCGGCGGUGGCGCUGCCCCUGGCGGCGCCGCUCAAGCUGGUGAAGGCGCGGAACGAGGAGGCGCUCAGGGCGAUGCAGGAGUUCACCAGGCUGGUCGAGCGGGCGUCGCGCCUGGUCGCCGACGUGGCGGACCGGGCCCACGUGCUGGACGGCCGGCUGGGCGAGAGCAAGCAGGCGGCCAGGCAGACGAGAAGCGGCUCCGGCUUCCUCAGGCGGUCCUCGGCCUCGGCCAAUUCGGACAACAGCGGGCCCCUCGCGGCCCACCACAGGAGCAACGCGGCCGCCCACCACCACCACCACCACCACCACUAUCACAGCAACGGCAGCCACCAGCAGCAGCAGCAGCAGCCGCCGCCCUCCUCCGGUUACGCGAGGGACGAGAACCGCGUCCCGCCCUCGGCGUGCACCGAGGAGUACGACGAGAUCGAUCAGAUUUACGACUACGUGCGGGGGUUCGCUCCUCUGCCGAAGAGCGUGAGGUCCCCCUACGAGAGCCCGCAGCCCGCCCAGGGGUCGUCCAGCCCGCCCCUGACCCCCGUCACCGUCACCAUCGCGCCCCUGCUCGACGACAGACCGGAACCACCCCCCAUAGAGACGAUCCCGACCAAGAAGAUCCAGGCCGAGAAGCGGACGAGGCGCGCCGUGAAGGAGGCGCCGCAGCCGAGGGCCGAGAAGCCGCCCUUGGCCAAGCUUUACGUGAAGAACAGCGGCACCCAGAGGGGGCGUCCUCUCAUGAGGCAGAAGAGCGCGUCCCCUUUGAAGGAGACCCCGCCCGGGUACAAGGGGGGCUCGCCCCUCUUCAACAUCAGAUACAAGAGCUUGACGAAUCUGCAGCAGGCCAUGGAGCUCGACGGGACCCUCGACUCGAGCCAUUCGGGGGGCAGAACCUCGGGGGACUCUGGUGCUGGUGCUAAGCUGCCCGAAAAGAGAUCGAGGCGUCUAAGCAGACCGCGCUCGUUGACGAAUUUAGUGUGGGAGCUGCGCGGCGGAAGUGGCCUCGGGAGACCGGAAACCCCGCCACCGGCCACCGCUGCACCGCUGCCCCCCACCAAAUGCGGACCACGUCUGGCCGUCACCGUGGUGGCACCCCGACGCGUUAGCACGCUCUACCUCUAACUCCCAAAGAAGAUUUAACUUUCAAUCUUGAAGAGAAUUGCAAUUCGUCAAAUUUUACUUUGAAUUGACACUGAUAUCGCACAAUUUUGAAGAAAAUCUAAUUUUCAACGUGUCGAGAGGCGGCACGCGCGACAGUUCACCAAAAUGGCCAAAGAGGACGCGGCGAGGGAUCGAGUAGGGGGAACCACUUUGCUUGGCAAUCGCGUCACGCUCGUUUACGCUAGUUUACGCCAGUUUACACAAGCGAUAUUACGUUAAGACCUAUCUUUAUGAGAACCGACAACGUCCCAUGGGGAAAUAUCCCCGGGUUUCAACGUUAUUGGUGAACAAGAAAAAGGGAGAUGAAGAAAGAUGAACGCCAGGGUUACCGGUGAAGAAAGCUGCGUGUUCGGUGCAAAGCGAAUCCCAAAGCGAAGUGUUUCCUUCGAGAGACGAUCGUGGCUAAGAUACGACGUCCGACUGGCUGCCAGGCUUGAAGGGCUUCGCAAACGAUCGGUCGUUGAACCACGAAUCGUUCUUCAAGCGUUACUCCCCAGAGGUGGGACGUGCAAAUUUCACUGGCCGACAUUUGCCUGUCUGGAAUUUGAGCCUCCUCUCCUCUAAGCUAUUUCGAGCUUGUAGUCUCGUAGCUUUAGGAAUUUGUCGAGGAUAUUUCUCACUGUGCAAAUUUUGAGGCACCGCCGUUCCAGAAAUUUUCUUCGAUUUUACGUUCGCAUCAAAUUUUAUCUCGAAAUAUAUAUAUAUAUAUAUGUCGUCCUCGAUUUCGAUAAUUUUCUUCGAAACAAAAUUCCUUCGGGUUCUUCUUUCGAAAGAAUUUUAUAUCUAGAACAAUUUUUUUGAAUCGAUUUAAAAUAAUUGUGUAAAAUUAUUAUCAAAUUUUGCAACCACGAUCUCGAUAUAAAAAUUCCUAUUGUGCUUCCCGUAUGGGAAUCGAUAGGAGGUGAUGACAAAGAGGAUACGUUUAAAAGAUUCGUUAAACGGGAAAAAGCGUCAGCUGCGAUCAAUUUUCGCGGUAGACACGCGAAUCCUACGCCAUUGCGGGGUAAGACAGAGCGACGAGGAGGAACAAAGCGACCCACGCUGCGGGUAUCAUCAUAGUCAUAUUCAUACACGGAGCGUAAGGGCAUUUCAGCACUGGGACAAUGGCGGGACCGAAUUUUUUCUUUUUUCUUCAAGGCUCGAUUGCACCGUGCCUUCUUUGUAGCCACGCGACGACGUCGACUGCCAAUAAAGGUGCCUCCUUUAUGAAGCCUGCUGUACAUGGGCCGCAGCUGCCCCAACGGAAACGGGCCACUCUAACCGUUCUUUGUUUUCGAAAUCUUUCAAACGUUCCCUUCCUCUAAAUUCUUUUCUGUUGCAAUCUUGAAAAUGUUUCGAGGAUUCGUCGCAUCCCAAAGGCGACGGUUUGAAAAUCGAGAACAAUGUAAAGAUAAAGGGAAGGCAGAGGCAGAGGAAUUACUUGAAAAUAAAAGUAAAAUAUUUUGACAAAAAUUAUAAAAUCACGAAAAUGUGAGAAAUUUUCACGGUUUGAGUUAUUUUGUAAAAUUGUAAGAUCUAAGAUAGAUACAAAAUUUGUUUAUAAAAAUAUAAUUUGGUUUUGUGUGAAAUAAAACUUUCACAAAUAUGAUUAUUCAAAUAUCAUAAUAAAUAUUACACUUUGAAUAUUUUAUUUUUUCUUUUUUGCAUAUCGUGUGUUCUGUAAAUUUUUUAUAAAUGCAUAAAUAUUCUACUUAGACUCCGUAGAAUCGAGCUUUCAAAAUUAUUCCAUGAAUAUAUCAACACUCUAUGUAGAUCUGCAUUUAAUUUUUAAGAAAAUCCACAUCGUUAAAUUUCUGAUUCGUUAAACAUUCAAAAUUAUAAUUUUAGAAUGUAGAGAGAUAGAAAAAAAAGUAUCGAACAAAUCUUUAGAUUUUGAGAAUCAGUUUUGAGAAUAAGGAUUAAAGGAUUCUCUUCUACAUUUUCAUGUAAAAUAUCGCGCGAAAUAUAUUUUUCAUUUCAAUUUUUUUUUAUCGCACGAUCACGCGGGAUGCUCGAAGUAAAUCCACGGGGCUUGAUUCAGCGAGAUUCUGUGGACGGAGGAAGUUUGGUUGGCGCGUCUUCAGCAUGAUAAACGGUGGCAGAUACAACAAUGGGUUCAUUACCGAAAGUUUAGCCCGGCACUUGGGCCCCCUUGGCGAAUCCUGGGCCGGCAAAGGGGUCCGGGUCGGUGACCUCUGCACACGGAUGGCCGGCUCGCGGCACCGACCUUUGCGAAAAGUACACGUGCACUGAGCAAACGUUCCUUCUAACAUAACAACGAGAAACCUUCUUGGAAAUUAUUUGUUUAAAUUCCUGUUGAAAUACACGCGCGAAAUUAGAAAAUUGUAUAUAUAAAAAUUGCGAUUCAGAAAUUAAAUUAUUUCGAAAAUUGCGUUUCGCUCUCUUAAAUUAAUUCUCUUUCUUGCACGCAACGAGACGAACAAGAAUCGCGGGAUACAAUUUUCUUUUCGUUACAGGGCGAUACGCGUGGCGUAAAAGAAAAUAUCGGAACGUUGGAAUUAAUGAUUCCAAGUUGUUUCUGAAACUCGUGCCAAUUUCAAAUUACCUUUCGACGAACUCGUAAGGUGUAAUUUUCUUUUCGUUACAGGCCGUGGUAGCAACAUAGUCGCAGAAAAAAAAAUAAACGUAUGCACGUCCAUUGUGCGGGCACGCACGACGCAGAAGGGUUUUUGUUCCAACGUGUGGCGUACCACGCUCGGCAGCUCGUGUCAUUCACACGACGUCGUGACCUUCUUGCAAUAAAAGACCGCGAAAGCUGCAAAACUCAGUUUCUUUUCACUCUCGACGAAAAUAUCCCGUUGAAAAGAAAUUCUUGGAACUGUAGUUCAAACUUUCCUUGGAAUCCCCUUCGCGAUCCUUCAGACGCAGCGAAAAGAAUUCACUUAGAAAAUUCUCGAUAUUUUCAAACCGCGUUAUUUUUCAUCGCGCAGCCAAAACCGACGCAAUCCUCCUCUUCCGUCCGCCUUCGACAGAGAAAAAAAGGUAUAAAAGAAAAAUGGACAGUUUCGAUUUAACAUCGAGCAUAAAAUUAAUGAUCGUUUACGAUUAUUAAUAGCUAUGGUAAGACCUCGACCGCAUGAAUUUCGCACGGUUAUCGUGGCUCAACUUCGGCUCUUGUAAUUGCCGCGUACCGUCCCGAGUGAUAAAUAAUUUGCAAAUAUACCGCAACCGACAACAUUGUACAUAGGGGCGGCAUCGAUAUAGCCACCGCAAGAUUUAUCGAUUCGUUCGAAUUGCCGUUUCGCGAACCGGCGACCUUCAGUCCCUAUACCCUUUGUCUUGCUUCUUUUCUACGCACACCGCUCUAUUAGUCCCUCUCUCGUGGACAAUCAAAUCGCGUACUAUCGUUUCCAUCUGAUAAGAUUUAUUGCCUCGGUUUGUCGAGGAUAAACGUUGUUUAAACUUCGCUCGUUUAAAUUGCAACCACUGACGAAACGUGUUUGUUAUACAGGGAGCAUGAAAAAUAAAAGUGGAGAAACGUGUACGCUCUCUCUUUGUAUCGAAACCAAUCUUAUUUUAUUUUAUUUUUAUUUUUAUUUAUUUUUUAUUUUUAUUUAUUUAUUUAUUUUUUUUUUUGAGACCGGAAUGAUUCCUCGUUGAAUGGAAGAUAACGGAGAUUCGAGAGAUGGAGGAGAAUGGACGAAGGAGGAGAGAGAUGCUAUUGACCCGUUUGAUUGAUUAAAACGUCGAGCUCGUCGCAGUUGUUCGAUCGCUAAAUGAAUUUCGUUCGCCGCGCCAGCCAGGUAUACAAAGCGGCGCUUUAAAUCUUCGGGGCUUAAUAAUCAGUCUGAAGGCUCGUAACUCUUCCCAGUGUAUUCUCCGUCUCUAGAAACCGAGAGACGUUGGAGGCGAUGGGCGAGAAUGAAACGACGACGAUAGCGAGGGCGUGCUGUGGUAUUGGUCGAUUCGAAGAAAAUUCAAGGAGAAAAAUCGAAACUCCAAGUGUGUGCAUUAAUCUAUUCUCUUGUUAACGUUUUUUCGAUUAGACUUAUAUAUAAAAAAUAUUUGUCGAUAUUUUCACAUUAUAAAUAAUUCCAGUUGCGUGGGUUGGGUAAGAGGAAACCUCUAGGCGCCUCUGGUAUUACAUGGCAAUAAACGAGAGAUUUUAAUUACUAGUUCUAUAAAACGGCGUCAAUAAAGACAUUGCACAGUCGGUACGGUAACUUGCGCUUCUUCUCGUUCGUUAUCGGAUAAAUAAUACGAAUGACCGUGAACGAAUCUCUCAUCUCUUUUCUAGGCUUUCUCGCCUCGACAUGAAUCAUUCCGAUAACGAUCCACAUUCGCAAAAAGGAAUCGUCGUAAUUCAUUAUUAAUUCGAUCGUCAUCCUCGGUCGAUAAUAAAGCGAUCGUUUUAACGCCACGACCGCCAUUAAAAUUCUUGAUGUUUCAAUUGAAUUUCAAACGGAGCGUAAAGCGCCGCAAACCAUAGUAUACAAGCAUCUCCACGACGCGUGUAUAUGAACGGACGAGCGAGUAGUAUGGGGAUAGUUGGUGUGUCCGUCUGGCCGUUUAUUAUGGCACCAAGGGAAAUUACGAACGAGUCGGCCUGUGGCCAUCGCGGUAGCCGAUUGGUGCGCGGCAAUAUACGAGUGGCGGUAGAAUAUGAACGUCAGAGUGAAAAAUUCGAGAAAGUUCGAGUAAAAUCCUCUCUUAAGGAUUGAUUAAAGAAACAUAGAAAAAGGAUAACCGAGCAAAGUAAAAAUUUAUACGAAUCUACUUAACCGCAAUUCGAAUCGUCUCUUAGAAUGAAAAAAAGAUUCGCACUCCCGAAUCCCGUUUCGAUAAUGAAAGUAAACUUUCCAGAGUUUUAUUCCUCGAACAUACCCUUUCAGUUAUCAACCUGUAGAAUUACUUUAAUAACCUUCGAGGAAACCCGUUCUCCUUAGCAAAACAACUUUUAACUCCCUUUAAUAUAUUCUCAUCGUUAUCUCACAAUUCCCCAGAAUUAUUUUAAUAACUCUCGCGAUCCACUCAUCUUCACUCCACACAUCUCGAUACCUCUCGACGAUCUUUCACUCUCAAAAUAUAUUUUACACCCCCAGUUAUCGGGCCCCUAAAAUUAUUAUAACAACUCUCGAUACUUUCAACUGUGAAAUAUAUUAGCGUCCCCCGUUUAUUAAGCUUCAUUUUCAACCAGGGCCGGGAAUCAGCGCCAUCUGCGAAUUCUCUAGGAAUUCCCCAGCAAUACAUUGUUUCCCACGUGAAAGAGUAGAACCGCGCAAGAAUGGACGGCAUGGCGGAGGGGCAGGCCGCGAGAUUCUCCAUCGGCAAUUUGCAUGACCGAUGAUCGUGCACUGGUGCACACCGGCCUGGCGUGGACUCUGGGUGCAUCGUCAUUACGCACUGGCCAGAUACGAUCAAACUGUCGGUAAUGAUAGUCGCGCGACCCGGCGCACGUACGACGAACGCGAGGGUCGCGUUUAUUAAAUUACGUCAAAUUAUUGGUACGCUCGGAGGGUCGAUUAUCGGGGCUGCUCGUUCGACCGCCAAGAAUCGUUCUCCUUUUCCCCGAUUACCACGAGAAACCGGCGCGAGGUGGUAGCCGAGAUCUUCAUGCUCUUGGACACGGCUCUUUGCCGAUCUAACCUAACACGAUUCCUUGCUUCGAUGCGAGGAGUGGAAGGAAAGUAGCAAACGAGCUUGAGAAGUGGUUGGAUAUUCGAACCGACGAAGGACUAAAGAAGGCAAAGAGCGGUCCGGAUGGGGCGUCGAGGAUCUCCGAGAUGUCUUCGAUUAAUCAAAAACUCGUAGUUCAAGCAAGGACGGAGGGACGGAUCCAAGAUCCGUCGAAGAUCCCACCAUUUGUCCUCCUUUUUUUUUCUUCUUCUUCUUUUUAAUCCAUCGCAGCCGCGACCACCAAUCGAAAAAAUAUGACCUUUCGAAAUAUCCAAUUUUCGCAUUGGAUCGCGAGAGAUCGUUAAAAACGAGGGAGGAAGAGGAGCUGCUACAGGAUACUGCGUGCUUUUCACGAUCCUCGAUCGAAACUUUGGAUUCAACUUGAAGACGACGCUUACUGGAUGAGGUUACUCGAAGGAACCGAAGUGGAAGUCGGAAGACAACGCUCACAAUUCGUGAUCCAUUGAGAAAAAUCUCAAAUCCGAGUUUUUCUAGCUUGAUUAAGCUAAAAAGUAAACGAUGAAAGACGAUGAAAAAGAAAAUUUUGCACAAAUGAUCUUCAAAUCCUUUUUUUUUUUUAUAAGCUUCGAAACGCUCGAAACAUUUUUCUAAUGGAUCACGAAAAACUGGAGGAAAAUUCAUACAAGAUAACAAGAGCAGCGUUAUUUUCGAAACGAGAAUGAACGAGCAAAUUCAAAAUGGUCCAUCGAUCGAUGAAACCAAUGUACGAGGGAUGAUUUAAUGAAAUCGCUUCUCAAAAAAAAAAAAAAAAAAAUAGUAAGCGGUAGAAAAUAUGAUGACGAUUCUGAAAGCGAUACUCGGUAGCGCGGAGAAUGCGAAAAAUCAUCGGACACAAUCAUUAGCAGAAAGAUACGUGCUAACACGCGCCGUUAGUUAAUCUAAUAGGAAGCGUAGUUAAGGAUUAUAAAUGCCAUAAUAAUGACCAACUUCUUGUGGUUGUACUUAAGUCAUAUCUUUAUACUUUACUAUUUUACGUUUAAGGCCAAUUAAGUAUGUAAGUUGCAUAAUAUUUUACUAUCGGAGUAUCUUCGAGUUAAUUGCUAGGCAUUUAUUUCUUUAUCUCUUUUUUGUUUGUUAUUUUUUUUUUUUUUUCAUCGCGAUGGUUUCCGGUACCGGAAGUGAUUAUAUUCCGUGACGAUAAUCGUCGACACACUGGACACAGAUGUAACGAAUUUAUCGUUUCUUUUUCUUCCCUUCUUCGUUGAAAGGAAGUUUCUUUCUGAUGAAUAUUCGCCUUUCGAGAAGUUGACAAAUUGCCAAUCGUUUGUCACAGCUACGUCUUGAAGUUCGGCGAACAUUCUACUUGUUAUUCACAGAGACCGAUGAAAUAUUAACAAAUUAUUCUUUUGACUUUGAUUUUUUUAACCUCGGUCGAUCACCGAGUAAAAAUUCGAAUGUGCAAUGAAUUUGCUCUACGAUCUGUUGUUAGUCGGUACGUACUUACAUUUUUGCGUCCAGUACUCUAAACGAAAUCGUCAAAGGCCUGUGACACCCGACAAUUGCGCAAAAGAACUGCUUAACGAAUUCUUUAUCGGAAAUUAAGUAUCGAAAUCUGUCGGUUAACAGUCCUGGCCAGACCCAGCGCUCUGGACUUUGGUCUUUUGUGAUUAUUAUUUAAGUAGGUUUUAAGCGUAUGAUAGAUUAGCUAAAGUUUUACAAUGUUUCUCUAUAUUCUUUUCAAAAAACUCUGUUUCACUUUUAUCCUUUUUUCCCAUCGAUGAAAUUUUGCGAACGAUAAGUAAUCAGUGAAAAUAAAUAAAUAAUACGAAUGUAGUUACAAACAUCGUUUGUAAGAAUAGCAAUAAUAAUGGAGUUUGUGAAUCUAAAAGAAAAUCAAGCGAGAAAAGAGAUACAUUUAUACGAUUUAAAUAUACCGCCAAGACCAUUGCCGCUUCGAUUUUGGAGGCGGAGCAAAAUAGUAUCGAAGAGUUCGAUUCAAAUGAUGAUAUGAGAGAUAAGAAGAUUUAUGAUAAGAAUACGUUUUAAUCCGUAUGUCGAUAAUAUUUCUUACAGUUCUCUGUAACAUAAGUUUCCCUAGUUAUAAUGUUAAGAAGAUGUAGAUUUUGGAUUCUCAUGAUAAACAUUCUAUUUUGCGUAAUGAAUACGAGUAAGAAGGCACUCGGUCCCCUUUACGAUGGAACUCUGUGCGUUAUAAUUGUUCGUGAAUAAAGAAUGAAUAUUUCGUAUGUCGACGUUCGCCGAGAUUUUGCCAGGAGAACAGAUUGCGAUGCUACCAAUUCAUCGCGUAAAUAUCCCUAUAUUGCAACUUAUCCCAUAUCUCUGUCCUCCUUUACUUUGCAUUCUUUCUUCUUUAAGGUUAGUUUUUUUUUUUUAUAGGGCAUUGGAUGUAUCAUUGUCCAUAUUUUCACGUUGUGCUUGAUCAAUGUGAAACGAUGUUUCACUACGACGAUACUGAGAUGGUGCGUCGAUUUUCAUUAUAUUGUUCGUGUUUUCAUGGCGAAAUACUCGAUGCGUAAGGGUCGAGGAUCGUUGUGCCUUCGAAUGCACCUGUUCGAAUGAUACGUUUUAUCGAUAAUAAGAACAGACAUCCACUUUGUGAUUUCGUAAGCAGUUGUUCAAUGUUUUCUUUUUUUUUUUUUUAUACUUUCCUUAAUGCUUAUCUAGAAUAGCUUGUAUACCCUAAAGAGUGUUUCAAUAAAAGUGACAAUGAAAUCAAA
Molecule: RNA transcript, 11448 nt
Organism: Apis cerana (Asiatic honeybee)
Lineage: Eukaryota; Metazoa; Arthropoda; Insecta; Hymenoptera; Apidae
Gene: sano
Gene name: CABIT domain-containing protein serrano
Source: RefSeq, a predicted model, not a curated record